This 320-nucleotide ribosomal RNA is filed under the name uncultured bacterium. RNAcentral describes it as "bacterial SSU rRNA". It matches the Rfam family "Bacterial small subunit ribosomal RNA", at positions 1046 to 1366 of the family's 1533-position model. The record is from RNAcentral.
UGGCUGUCGGUCAGCUCGUGUCGUGAGAUGUUGGGUUAAGUCCCGCAACGAGCGCAACCCUUGUCUUUAGUUGCCAUCAUUAAGUUGGGCACUCUAGAGAGACUGCCGGUGACAAACCGGAGGAAGGUGGGGAUGACGUCAAGUCAUCAUGCCCCUUAUGACCUGGGCUACACACGUGCUACAAUGGGCAGUACAACGAGAAGCGAACCCGCGAGGGUAAGCGGAUCUCUUAAAGCUGCUCUCAGUUCGGACUGCAGGCUGCAACUCGCCUGCACGAAGCUGGAAUCGCUAGUAAUCGCGGAUCAGCACGCCGCGGUGAA